RNAcentral lists this ribosomal RNA (275 nucleotides) under uncultured bacterium. RNAcentral's name for it is "partial 16S ribosomal RNA". It matches the Rfam family "Bacterial small subunit ribosomal RNA", at positions 399 to 691 of the family's 1533-position model. The record is from RNAcentral.
GCGUGAGUGAUGAAGGCCUUAGGGUUGUAAAGCUCUUUCGCCGGUGAAGAUAAUGACGGUAACCGGAGAAGAAGCCCCGGCUAACUUCGUGCCAGCAGCCGCGGUAAUACGAAGGGGGCUAGCGUUGUUCGGAAUUACUGGGCGUAAAGCGCACGUAGGCGGAUUGUUAAGUCGGGGGUGAAAUCCCAGGGCUCAACCCUGGAACUGCCUCCGAUACUGGCUGUCUUGAGUCCGGGAGAGGUGAGUGGAAUUCCGAGUGUAGAGGUGAAAUUCGU